RNAcentral lists this long non-coding RNA (8453 nucleotides) under Capsicum annuum. RNAcentral's name for it is "long non-coding RNA (CANN_LNC012409)". Lineage: Eukaryota; Viridiplantae; Streptophyta; Magnoliopsida; Solanales; Solanaceae. The record is from RNAcentral.
UUCUCUUCACAAUUCAUAUUACAUAUUUACACUCUCAACGAACAACGGAAACACAACAAUAAUGGAUGAUGAAUCCACUAUACCAACGGCAAACGGAGAACGAUGACGACAUUAAAUCCACCAGACCAACAGAGAAUGACAACUAGUAGUGAAUUAGGUAUCAUUUUCUUCUAUUCAUAUUUCUUUUCUUAUUAUUUUUUUAUGCCACUUCUUUUCUUUUCUAACUUUUCAUUUUAACCAUUGAUUCUUUAAAGUGAAGAGUCUGACUUUUUCUUUUAGCGAUUUUUUUGACUAAUUAAUUCUAUAAAUUGAAUUUUCCAAUUCUGUAAACACUCUAAUUCUAUAAACACUAAACAUUCUUAAUUUUAUUUUCUCAUUCAAAUUUUAUAUAGAUGGAUGAUGAAAGUCAAGUUAGUGUGGGUGGUUCAACUGAUAGUGCUCUUGAUAAUGGCAAGCACAACUCAAUUUGACACUACGGAUCCAAAGAAAAGGAAAGAAAUAAAAAGUAGAUCUGCUGCUUGGGAACAUUUUUAAGAUAUAUUUGAAAAUGGUAAAUUAGUUAAAGAAAAGUAUUUGUAUUGUCAUAAAAAUUAUGCUGCUUCAACUAAAAAUUGAACAAGUGGACUGAGAUAAUAUUUGGUUAGAUGCAAAGUGUAUAAGCCCCCGCCCACCCCAUCGAGUAGUCAAACAUUGUUAAACUUUCAAACAAAGGAUUCAUCGGGAGAAUAUUAUAAAUUUGAGAAAGAAGUAGUUAGGAGAUCUUUAGUUGAGAUGAUAAUUGUAAAUGAGCUACCAUUUAGCUUUGGAGAAACUCAGCCUUUAAGAAGUUUAUGAGUAAAGCCCAACCUUUGUUUUGAAUUCCUUCACGUAGAACAAUAAUAAGAGAUUUUUAUAAUGUUUAUGGUGAAUUGAGAGUAAGCUUAAAGAGGUCUUUUAGAUAGAUACAACCAAGAAUUUAUCUUACAAUAAACACAUAAACGUCAGUGCAAAGAAUUAACUAUAUGUGUUUGACUGCUCACUUUAUUGGUAAAGAUUGGGUGUUUCAUAAAAGAAUAUUAAAGUUUUUCCCUAUCACUAGUCAUAAAGGUGAGAAUUUGGCAGAGUUUAUUAGUAAUUAUUUUCUUGACUGAAAUUUGGACAAUAUCUUUACUAUUACUGUUGACAAUGCUUCUUCAAAUAAUAUUGCAGUUUCAGCUUUGUCUAAGAAGUUAGAUAAAUGGGGAACCAAUGUAAUGGAUGGUAAUCAUCUCCACAUUAGAUGUAUGGCUCACAUACUUAAUGUAAUUGUGCAAGAUGGUUUGCAGGAAAUUGCUCUUUCUACCAAACAUGUAAGGCAAAUGGUUAAGUAUGUUAGAUCCUCUCCUACAGGAACAAGAAAUUUCAUUAAAUAUUGUGAAAUGCAAAAGAUAGAAUAUGGUAAGAUAUUAUCAUUAGAUGUGACUACUAGGUGAAAUUCCACCUAUUUGAUGUUGGAGGUAGUAAAAAAGUUUGAGAAGGAUUUUUAGCGGUUUAAUCUUUUUUAUGUUAACUUUAAUUCUUAUCACUAUACUGUGUUUGUGAAGAUGGUAGCAUUGCAGGUUCAAUCCAAAGUGAUGAUUGGGAAAAUGUGAGGAAUAUCAUAAAGUUUUUUGAAUGAUUUUAUGAGCUCACCUUAAAGGCAUUAGGUUCAUAGUAUGUUACUUGUAAUGUUCAUUUUGAGGAUAUAUGUGAACUUGAUUCUUAUUUUAAAGUAUGUAUGACAAGUGAUAAUAUUGAGUUUCAUAAAAUGGAUAUGGCAAUGAAAGAUAAGUUCAACACUUAUUGGGGGACUCCUGAAAAGAUAAACAAAAUGAUUUUUGUUACUUCUGUGUUGGAUCCUCAUAAUAAUUUUAAGUAUGUUAGCUAGUGCUUGAAUAGUUAUUAAGGAAAGACAUGGGAAAGAAAGCAUGUGAUAAAGUAGAAACUUCUUUGAAGGAUUUGUUUGCUUUCUAUGUAAGAAAGUAUUCAAAUUGUACUAACAAUUCAUCCGAAUACACUUCAUCUGACUUAUUUGGAUUUGAUUCUUCAUCUAAUUGUGCUCUUUCUCAAAGUUUGAAAACAAAUAUUUUGAAAAAUAUGCUUCACAUGUAGAAAAUGUCAAAAUAUUGUGGUAGUACUGGAGGUACUAAAUCAUAGUUGGAUAAAUACCUUGGUAAAGACCAAGAGCCUAUGCCCAAGCCUGGAUCUGAAUUUGAAUCUAAAGAUUUAAAUAUAUUAAAUGGGUGGAAAGUUAAUUCUCCUAACUUUUCUAUCCUUUCACAGUUGGCUCAUGAUGUAUUGGCUAUUGGUAAUGCUCCAAUUUUUUGGUACUCAAAAAUUUUUUGAGUUUUGAGCUUUCUUUCCUAGCAAUGACUCAUCUAAUAGGUCGUAAUAUGUCUUGAUGGGUCAGAUGACCCUAGUCGUAAGGUGUCCAGUAAAUGGUGCUUGAGUUAUUGUCUUGGGUACGACUUGGGGACACGAGUUGUAAAGACUCAUAGUGAGUCGUUGGAAUGGAAUCAUAACCAAAUAAAAAAUUAAAUGGUUAAGUUUUGGUUUGAGUAUGACUAGCUCACUAUGAGCAGUAAGGACUUGUUAUGAGAUAUUCGGUGCAAAUCUUAGCAUGUCCAGUGUUUACCCAAUUGGGUUCUGUGUUGACUUUGUUAGGUCUUUAUGAGUCAUAGGUCUUAUUAUGAGUGGUACCAGUUGACUCGUAGCAUUAAUAAUGGGAGGAGUUCCUAGAGAUUAUCUUGGUUAUGAAUCAUGGUGGCGAUUCAUAAAAAGUGGCUACAAGUCAACAAUCGACCCAUAGUCAAUGGCAGCACUUUCUCAGCUUAUAAAUUAAGGGCAUACUGGACAUUUCCCCUCUUACCCAAAUUAAAAUCCACAUCUUAUAAUCCCUUUAGGAUGUCAUUAGCACUUAAAAAAAAAUUUAUUUAACUUCUUAAACACUCCAAAACGCUCUCUGAAUUCCCUUAUGCAAGUCCAUCUAGGGUUUCAUCAAGCUAGUCAUCUAAGGGCUUAAGGGUCAAUUUCUCUACAAGUUUCUUGGUAUUUAACGUAGUUACUCUUUCCUCAUAGUUAAUUUGUUAAAAACAUAUGUUUUAAAGUAGUGUUUAUGAGAUAUUGUAUUGGUUUUAUAACAAGGGUUGAGGGUUUUGAAUGCUUAUUAUUGAAUAGUGUUUUCCCAUGUUUUACAUAUGAUUUUUCAUGCUUUAAUUAUGGUUUUGAACUUGUGGGUACAUGGGUAUGGUGAAUGAACUAUGCAAUUGUGAUUUUCCCAAACCUGUGACUUUGAAAUGGUUAUGACCCCAACCCCAUAAUGUGAAAUUGGUUUUUAAUUAUGAAAAAUGUAGAAAUUUGUAAAAUUGAACCAAGAGAGUUGUGAAUUUCUCCUAAGUGAUGCACCUCGAGUGGGAUUGGGUAGUGUUUUGAUGAAGCAUGGCAAAGUGGUUGCUUAUGCCCCUAGAAAGUUAAAAUAUCAUGAGAAGAAUUAUUCAACCCAUGAUUUGAAGUUAUUAGUUAUGGUGUUUGCAUUAAAGAUCUGGCGGUAUUAUUUGUAUGGGGUCCAUGUUGAUUUUUAUUCUGAUCAUAAGAGACUGCAAUAUGUUUUCACACAGAAAUAAUUGAAUCUAAGGUAAAAGAGGUGGCUUAAAAUGCUAAAGGACUAUGACACGAGUCUGCACUAUCAUCAAGGUAAAGCUAACGUGGUUGCUGAAACUCUUAGCAUGUUAUCCAUGGGGAGCUUGUCUCACGUGGAUGAGGAGAAAUGGGAUUUGCUAAAGGAUAUUCACUAUCUGUCUAAUCUAGGAGUUCGUCUUUUAGAUUUUGAGGAUGGUGGUAUGAUUAUUCAAUAGGUGGCAAGGUCAUCUCUUGGUGAUGAAGUAAAGGAGAAACAAGUAUUAGAUCCUAUUCUGAUGAAAAUCAAGAAUGAUGUAGGUAGACUAAAAGUAAUGGUUUUUGAGAUUCAUGGUGAUGGUAUCUUAACCAAGGUAGAUUAUUUAUUCCCGAUGUUGAUGGGUUGUAAUGAAAAAUUUUGGCCAAAGCUCAUGAGGCACAUUAUGCUAUUAAUCCUGGUUCAAUGAAAAUGUACCAUGACCUCAAGAAAAUUUAUUAGUGGAAUAAUAUGAAGUGGGAUGUGGCCAAAUUUAUGGCUAAGUGCUUUGUAUUUAAAUGAGUGAAGGCAGAGAAUUUGAGGCCCAGUGGGUUGACUUUAGAUAUUGAGCUGACAGUGUGGAAAUUCGAGAUAAUUAAUAUGGAUAUUGUUAUCGAUCUUUUGCGGUCUCGCCAUCAAUUUGACUCGAUUUGGGUCAUCAAGGAUUGGAUGACUAAGUCUGCUCAUUUUUUUCCAGUGAGGACAAAUUUCUCUUCUGAGAAUUAUGCUAGGUUGUUGAUUGAGGAUAUCAUGAAAUUGCAUGUUUCUCCAAUUUCCAUCAUAUAUGAUUGGGGUACUCACUUUUUAUCUCACUAUUGGAGGUCGUUCCAUUGCAAUUUUGGGACUAAGGUGACCCUUAGUACUACUUUCCACCCACAGAUAUAUGGGCAAGCAGAAAGGACAAUUUAAGUUUCGAAAGAUAUGCUUCGAGCUUGUGUGUUUGAUUUUGGGAGUGAUUGGGUUGACCAUUUGCCUCUCAUAUAAUUUGCCUACAACAACAGUUAUCACUCUAGCAUUGGUAUAGCUCCAUUUUAUGCCUUAUACCAUACAAGGUGUAGGUCUUCUAUUAGGUGGUUUGAGGUCGGUGAAAAUAAGUUGUGUUGCCCUAAAUUAGUUCACCAAGCCAUGGGGAAGGUGAAGGUGAAGGUGAUUUGAGAUAGACUUAAGGCCUCCAAAAGUCACUAAAAGUCCUAUGCAGAUGUGAGGCGAAGGGAGUUGGAGUUCAGUAUUAGUGAUUGGGUGUUCUUAAAGGUAUCUCCCAUGAAGGGAGUGAUGUAAUUUGGUAAGAAAGGGAAGCUCAGUCCUCGUUAUGUCGGUCCGUACUUGGUGUUGAAGAAGGUUGGUAAUGUUACAAAUAAAUUAGAGUUGCCUUAUUAUUUGAGCUCUAUUCACCCGGUGUUUCAUGUUUCGAUUUUGAGAAAGCACGUGGGUGAUCCUUCGAUGGUUGUUCCUUUAGAGAAGAUGGGUAUUUUGGAUUCCUUAUCCUACUAAGAGGUCUAGUUUGAGAUUUUGUAUCGUCAAGUGCGCUUGUUGCGGAUGAAGGAUGUGGCUUCAAUAAAGGUUCUUUGGAGGAACCAAAAGGUUUAGAAAGCUACUUGGGAAGCCGUGUAGGACAUUAAGUUCAAGUGUCCAUUCUUAUUUCCCGCUCUGAAUAAUCAUGCUUAAGGUAUGUGUAUUUCUUAAUAUCUUUAUUUCCUGACUUUGUUAAAGAAAAUGGUUGUUUCCUUGGAAUCAUUAUUUUCUGUCAUUGUUAAAGGUAAGAGUAGUGGUAUAAGGAAAUAAUUGUGCUAAUAAAUGCAUUGUCCUGUCAUUCAAGGACGAAUGAUCCUAAGAAGGGAGUACGUAAUGCCUUGGGUUUUUUAUCCUUAAAAAAUUCUGAGUUCUGCUUUUUGCCCUAGCAAUGAUUCAUCUAAUGAGUCAUAAUGUAUCUUGAUGAGUCAGGUGAACCUAGUUAUAAAGUGUGCAAAAAAUAUUGCUUAAGUUAUUUUCUUGGGUAUGACUAGGGGACACGAGUUAUAAAUACUCUUAAAGAGUCGUUGGAAUGGAAUCAUAACCAAAUAAGAAAUUAAGUGGUUAGGUUAUCUUCUGAGUAUGAGUAUCUCACUAUAAGUCAUAAGAUUAUGAGUCGUUGGGUACAACUAAUAGGAUUCUUAGUGUUUACCCAAUUGGGUUCUGUUUUGACUUCGAUAGAACUCUACUAGUCGUAAGGUCUCAUUACGAGUGAUACCAGUUGAGUCGUAGGGUCAACAGUUGGAGGGGGUCCUAGAUACUAUCUUGGUUAUGAGUUGUGGUGAUGAAUUAUAAAGAGUAGGUAUAAGUCAAUGGUUUACCCAUAGUCAAUGGAGGCACUUUUUCAGCUUUUAAGUUAAGGGCAUACUGGAUAUUUCCUCUCUUACCCAUAUUAAAACCCAUGUCUUAUAACAACUUUUGAGUAUCAUUAGCACUCAGAAAUAAAUCUAAGUAACUUCUCAACUACUCCAAAAGGCCCUCUAAAUUCCCUUAAGCAAGUCAAGCUAAGGUUUCAUGAAGUUGGUCAUCUAAGGGCUCAAGGGCUGAUUUCUCUACAAAUAUCUUGGUGCUUAAGGCAUGUUACUGCUCCCUUAUUGUUAAUUUGUUAAACAUACAUAUUUUAAAGUAUUGUUCAUGAGAUAUUCAUGUUGGUUUUUAUAACAAGGGCUGGGGGUUUUGACUACUUAUUGUUGAAUGAUGUUUUCCUAUGGUUUACAUAUCAUUUUUCAUGCUUUAGUUAUAGUUUUAAACUUGUGGGUGCAUGGUUAUGGUCAUUGAACUACGGAAUGUUUAUUUUCCCAAACUUGUGACUUUUGAUGUGGUUAUGACCCCAACCACAUAAUUUGAAAUUAGUUAUUAAUUAUGAGAAAUAUGAGAAUUUGUAAAAUUAAACCAAGGGGGUUGUGAAUUUCCCCCAAGUGAUGUAAUUGUUCUGGCAUGUUUUUGUUACCUUGCAAGUGUAGUUUGCAUGACAAUACCAACAAUGUAUGCCUAAGUAUGUAUUAUGGUUUAAUGAAUGAGAUUGCGUGAUAAAUGUUUUAAUUGGUCUUUAAUAGGGGUUGUGUAGCUAAAUCAUGAAAGUGGAGGUCCGAAUGACCGAUACUUGAAACUGCAUUUACCGAUGCGGGGGUAAAAAUAACAAGGGAUGUUUGGAUCCCCUGAUUAUUAUUACAUGAUUAGGGAGAUUCGAGUUCCUCAUAAAUCAACACAUGAUCGUGAGCUUAUGCCACCUCAGUAUAUAAUUGGGAGGUUCAAGUCCCCCAUGUAUAUAUAUAAGAUUAUUUUCUGAUUCAAGUGGCUAGACGCACUGGGGCCCAAUUAGGCGGUGAGAGAUGGUCCCAUAUAGCCCAUAGGUGCAUAUUGUAACGAUUGAGCUACAUAAUCUAGGUUAAAUUUUUAAAAUAUGUGUUACGCCUUGUUUCCCUAUCCCGGCAUGUGAAGCAUAUAUAUAUGUAUAUGUAUAUGCAUUUGACUAUGUGCAUUGAUUUUUGAAUGAUUUUAAACAUCUGAUCAUGACAUUUUGUUAUCCUUAUCCUAUGUUUCAUGCUAGCUCUCCAACUGCUAACCAUCUUCAAAUAUUAUAUCCCCACACGAUGCAGGAAUUGGUCAUGCUUCUACUCCUCCUACUCAAUGAUUAGGAUUUUAGAUCAUCUUUUGAGUUGACAUCUAAGUGGUGAGCUUUCAUACAUCAAAAUUCUACAUUUCAUGUUUUGGUCUUUAAUGCCUCAAACUAUUUAGACUUAUUUUAGGCUAUAGUCGGGGGCAUGUCCUGACACUUCAUUGAUAUUUAGUUUUGGUUCUUUGUUUAGAAUGCUUUGUUUGGACUAUAGUGGUUAUUGGGCGGUGUUGGUUGAUUAUUUUGGGCUGGUCACCGAUCGUCGGGUAUAAACAUGUUUUGAAUUUUCUUAAGCUUAUUAUACACUAUCUUGUUAUAUGUUAAGAAUUCAUUCAAACUUGGUGGAUAUUAGGUUGAAUUGGUUAGAUGCAAGGGGUAAUCUCUGGUUCAUGUCAAACUUGAGAUGCCCGUCACGACCAGGCCUUGGUUUGGGUCGUGAAACUAUUCUAAUAUCAAGUGUGGCAUGAGUAUGUGCAUUUAGCACCAACGGUUGUAUUCUUGAUCCUCUUAGAAUUUCAUUGACCUCUAAAUGUAUGCAAUGCCUUAUUUGUGUUCAAGAUUGGCUUAUUCAAGAGACUAGCCCUAUUUGUGUUGAAGAAAAUUUGAAGUUUCUUGAGUUAAUUGAACUUGGUAAGAAUUUAUAUUUUUUAUGUGUUUUUACAAAAUAAAUAAUAUACUUAUUUGUGUUGUAGGUAUAAUAUAUUUGUUUACAUUUUCGUUAGAGAUUGCAAAUAGUAGAAGACUCUUGCAUUGUUGAUGUAUGAUUGCGAUUUCCCAGUACUUAGUAGUGGUGAUGAUUGAUGAGCUCAAUAGUCAAUAUAGUUUAUUUAUUUGGUUAUGUCCUUUUAUCUUGUAAAUUGUAUGUUAUCUUUCAACUUUUAAUUUUAUCUUAAAGGUUCAAGGCUUCAAGCGAUGUGGCACAUUUUCUUUGUACAAGCAUAUCAGGAAGUGCAUUAUAAAAUAGAAAAAGAAAAUAAUUCAUAUUUGGAUAUUUAUGCUACUGUCCAAGCGAUGUUAGCUUGUAAGAUGAUUUGUCCUCAUGUUUGUAAGCUAAGUAUUUCGCUAUUUUCUGGCUUACUACUGUUUUGGCGAGGCUACUGCUACAAUAGAUGACUAAUUGCUAAUAAUUUUGUAAUGCCAUUUAUUAAUCUGUUAUUGUUUUAUGAGUUUUAAGUUUUU